RNAcentral lists this transfer RNA (76 nucleotides) under Tolypothrix brevis GSE-NOS-MK-07-07A. RNAcentral's name for it is "tRNA-Met". It matches the Rfam family "tRNA". From Rfam's summary of the family: Transfer RNA (tRNA) molecules are approximately 80 nucleotides in length. Lineage: Bacteria; Bacillati; Cyanobacteriota; Cyanophyceae; Nostocales; Tolypothrichaceae. The record is from RNAcentral.
GUUUGAUUAGCUCAGUUGGUAGAGCGAUCGACUCAUAAUCGAUUAGUCACAGGUUCGAGUCUUGUAUCAAACCCCA